This is a long non-coding RNA of Cuculus canorus (common cuckoo), 360 nucleotides long. RefSeq lists it as uncharacterized. The record is from RefSeq and is a predicted model, not a curated record. NCBI's taxonomy places the organism in Eukaryota, Metazoa, Chordata, Aves, Cuculiformes, Cuculidae. The transcript is spliced from 3 exons.
UUAAUCAUCUUUAAUCUGUUAAGUGAACACAACUGUCUGGAAAGGGUGUGUCUCCCUGCCACAGGUCAUCAUGAAAUGUCAAAGCAAGUGCAUCCAAGAGGGGAAGGCAGCCUGACCACCAGUCUCCGAGCCCGAGAUUUACUGAGCGGCAGAGGUGUAUGUGACUCACUUCUUCCCUUCGUGCCAUCCAGGGAUAAGCAGACACACACAAAUUUGUCAGGCUUCCCAGAGUCGCUGCCAGUCAGGUGCGGUUGUCCUUGCCCAGGAGCUGUGGGGAGAUGCAAAGAACGAUAGUGUUUUUUCUUCCUCUGGUACAGCUGCAGCACAGCGACUGAAGUGAAGCACAACCACAGCCCUGAC